UUAGAGAUGGCAGAUAAAAUGCCUAGACUUUAAGCGUCUAUCAUGGGAACUCCCUCUCUAAU
Molecule: transfer RNA, 62 nt
Filed under: Salinator rhamphidia
Lineage: Eukaryota; Metazoa; Mollusca; Gastropoda; Amphibolidae
Description: tRNA-Leu
Source: RNAcentral